Molecule: long non-coding RNA, 934 nt
Organism: Sarcophilus harrisii (Tasmanian devil)
Lineage: Eukaryota; Metazoa; Chordata; Mammalia; Dasyuromorphia; Dasyuridae
Exons: 4
Source: RefSeq, a predicted model, not a curated record
AAAACACUUGCCUAAAGUGCUGGCAAAACUCUUAUUGUUUGUAGCACUUCUGGAAAAAAGACUCCUGGGACUAACAGUGGAAUUCUGGCUAUUGAUUGGCUGGUUAAAUAGAGGACUAUUAGCUUCAGACAGGCUAGAUUGAUUAUACAGCAGCAGAAAGAGCUCAGCUUCAGAGCUGAGUGAACGUCAAGGUGAGGGAGAGAAGGAGAAGGGGGAAAGAGGGAGGGAGAGAGAGAGAGAGAGAGAGAGAGAGAGAGAGAGAGAGAGAGAGAGAGAGAGAGAGAAAAGCAGGCUGUCUGCAGACUAGAAUAUCAGCAUGGAACUGCUGGUAUCUGAAAAUCCUGAUACUCAGCUCCCUCAGUGAGCAAGUUACUGAGCUACCUUGCAAAAGGAUGCCAGCUCUGAGAAAGAAAAACAGACUGAAUCUUGGAAUAGUUCACCCUACUCCUACAUCUUUGAAGAAGAGUUUCUUUUCCUGAACAAAAUAUAUGUACAUAUUUCAACCUCCCUUUCCAAUUUUCCCAAGUCCCAGGAUUAAAUAAAAACAGUUUGAGCCUCCAGUCUCUCUAAGAAAUAAUUGCUGCUGCCUUGUUGAUGGAUUGCAAUCUGUGUCUCUGGUUGGAAUAGUCACAUCAAUACAAUUAAAGGCCCCAGAAGCACUGAAGAAAUAUAAUGAAGUAUCGAUUGAUUGUUUAUACUUCAGUUGGCUAUUAAGAAGACUGAAGAACUAAUUCAUGACUUUAAUAAAAAUUUCCAACUAUUUAUAAGAAUAUUCUAAUAUAUUCAAGGACAAACUCCACCAAGAUAUCACAUAGAAACCUUCAAGGUUGCUACAGAUCAGAGAACAUGUCCAAGGUUAAUUAGGAUAAUGCAUUGGGGCCAUGGUGAUAUAAUAGGUGAGUUAAAUUUCAAUAGGAUUCUUUUUUGUUUUUUU